AUACGGAGGGUGCAAGCGUUACUCGGAAUCACUGGGCGUAAAGCGCGCGCAGGCGGCUAUUUAAGUUGGAUGUGAAAGCCUACGGCUCAACCGUAGAACUGCAUCCAAAACUAUUUAGCUAGAGUGUGGGAGAGGAAGAUGGAAUUAGUUGUAUAGGGGUAAAAUCCGUAGAGAUAACUAGGAAUACCAAAAGCGAAGGCAAUCUUCUGGAACACUACUGACGCUGAGGCGCGAAAGCGUGGGGAGCAAACAGGAUUAGAAACCCUAGUAGUCC
Molecule: ribosomal RNA, 274 nt
Filed under: uncultured bacterium
Lineage: Bacteria
Description: partial 16S ribosomal RNA
Rfam family: Bacterial small subunit ribosomal RNA
Source: RNAcentral